GAAAUUUCUUUUUCCUUCUUCACCUCUUUGAAAAAAAAAAAAAGAAAAACAGAGCAAAAAGAAAAAUCUCUGUCAAUGAAAAUCUAUCAUUUUCUCUGUUUCUGAAGAUUCACUUUUCCAAAUUCAAAACCCUAAUGUCUAUACGAUCUGAUUUUAUAGCAGUGCUUUUCGGAAUGCAACUUUUUUUUUGUCAUUUUCUGUUUGGUUGCACAGAAAGAGAAAGGUAAGGUAACGAAAUUUUGAAAAUUUCUUGUUCCUGGUUGUCUAUUUUUAUUAUUUUGGAAUGGUUCAUUUUGAUUCAUGAUGCUAGUGCUUUUUCAUGAGUUUAAUUGGAUUUUAAAUUUUAGAGCUUUUAUAGAUGAUGUGGGUUUUUUUGUUUUGGGGGAGGCGAGUUUACUGAUCAUAAGUUGAAAUUUGAUGUGUAUUAAAUUUUUUGGGGGUUUGCAAAAGCUAAGAAAUUUAAUUUAUAGCUAUAAUUGGUGAAAAUUGUUGCAUGAUUAGAGCUAAAAUCCAAUAGAUUUGAAUUUAUUUUUGCAUGUUUUAGUUGGCGUGACUGUUUAUCUGAUAUUGGCGUGGUCUGUUUUUAUUCUGUUUGACCUUUUUUUAAAGAUCUUUACUAGUUUAGAUGGAACUUGAAUUUAUUUUUGGUGCAUUUGUAUUUUAUCAGACAUAUCGAGACCCCAUUAUCUAAAAUGUUUUGAAAUUUUAUCAGUUCCUAGACAAUUAUUGGGAUCUAAUUAGAUGUAUGCUGAUGAAAUACAUUAAUGAUAUGCUUUGACUCUUUGGGUUAUUGGUGAAGACAUUUAGAAUGAAAGAAUCAUGAGCUAUUUGGAAUGAAAUUAAUCAUUUUUAAUAGAUUUGUCGUUAGUGGUGGAAAAUUAAAGAGUUAAAUGAGAUGUCGUUUUACUUUAUGCUGUUGUUACUUUUCAUUUUCUUUUCUGUCCCUAUAUAGUGUGAUGUGAGGUGAGAGACAAAGCAGAGAAACUUCUAUUUUCUCCAGCUAGUUUUCCUCUAAGUUCGAUGCAAGGGAAAAGAAGGGAAAACUCUCUUUCUGGUGAUAUUUUCUUCAUCCUGUUCCAAGUCCAAUGUGGCUUUACAAAUUUAUAUUGCUUUUCUUUGUUAUUGACAAUUAGGAAUUGUCCUUAUAUGAUUCUUAAUUUUGAUUGGUAGAAAUGCAUGACUAAGAAGAGGGUGUAAGCAACCAAUAUUGUUUUGAUUUGAUAUGGACUCUAUGGUUAAUAUGGGACUCUACUUUGGGUGUUUGGGGACAUUCUAUGUUUUUGUGUCUGCUUUGGGCCCAAUUUUAUAAAUUAGGUUCCACCGGCAAGAAAGAUCGCGAAGUUUCUUGCACAAAUGAUUUAGUUUCCAUAAGUGUAUUUACUUCAAUAAUGAUGCUAAACCAUUAAAUUUACAUUUGUGAUUGAGAAGAAUUUACUCUAUUUUAAAAAAUCAAAAUUGCUUUAUUCCACCUGGUCUUUUUCCCUUUAGGUUUACUCAAUGUGCUUUCUGGCUUUAAAGGUUCCCAAACUGAUCCUCUCACAUUCAUGUUCUGGUUUAGAAUCUUAAAUACUUGAUUGCUAAUUUGACCAGGAACGGAAUUGGGUGUGUUGGUAGACUAUGGAACAAGAAUAAAAACAAAAAUGAAGCUGACAAUGCUGCAGAAGACUUGGCAAAAAGCCCAAUUUUAUUUAAGGCUAAAUCUGAUAUUGCAAAGUCAAUGGCCAAGAAUUUCUUGAAGACAAGGAAAGCCACUGGCACUUCUGAGGUCCGGAGGAGAAAGCCAAAGAAGAAAAACAAGAGUGUAUUAGAGGGCAAUAAAGCUACUGAAGAUAAUGCUAACAAGCUAAAUUCAAGGAAAGAAAACCAGCAAGAGGAUGCUUCAACCAGUAAAGAGUGCCUAGAGAAGAGCUAGCAGAUACAAAAGAAUGAAGAAAAUACAUAUGCAUCAGAUGUCCAGGAAAAUAGCUGUAAGUCAAAUGACAGUCCCAAGAAGAGAAGAAGGGAAAAGGAGCCCAGCUUUUUUAAUAAAAACUAAAAGAAUGAAGAAAAGCGGGACGGUAAGAAAAAGAGAAAAUGGAAUGAGCAGAAGGAAAAACACAGUAGGUCAGAGAAGAAUAGCAAGAAUAUAGAAAAGUGCGAUAAGGGAGUGAAACAAGAAACUAAGAAGAAGGAAAAGAUAGAUGGUCUGAUAUUUAUGUGCAAUUCAAAGACCAAGCCAGCCAGAUUGUUUCCAAUAUUGUGUUGGGUAUCAGACGAGGGCUUAAGCAUUUUCUCCAUGAUUAUGAUCUCAAGCUCACGUAUGGGAUUUAUAAGGCAUCCUCUUCUGGUGGCAUGAAACUUGAGCCAAAGGCUUUUGGUGGUGCUUUCCCCGCUCAGUGUCCAUGCUGAUUGUUUUCUGCAGAGAGCAUUUUCAAGAAGGCAAUGAAGGAAAAUUAUAAUGAAAAGCACAAAUUCAAAACUGAACUUGCCGCUAGACAAGUUCGGAAGCUCACUGAACUUUUUCGACCAGUUGGAGUUCAUUCAAUUGCACUGCCUGCUUACUCCCUGUCAAGGGCAGCGGCUGGAAUCAUUGAACGCUCUGACAACAGGGAAGUUCAUGAUAGACCAAGGGAAGCAAGGCCCCCUUCACACACAGAAGCGUUUGCUAGAGAUCCUUAUGUCAAUAUCAGUGCUAGAAAUUACUCCGUUUCAUCUCAUUAAAAGGAUCAGCAAAUUGCAUAUGGAGAGUUGGCAUAUAGUCGGAGGGAGGACAGUCAUUGUGAUUUAUACCAUAGUAAGAAGGAAUACAUGGCUUAUGGUCUUCAGGGAGAGAGAAGAAACUUGACUCUUUAGCUUCUUAUCACUCCAGCAUUAGCAUCUUACCGUGGAGAUUGCAAAGAGAAGCUUCUACGACAACAAGACAUCGUAGAGAGGGAAUCCAUGGCUAUGCAGAGACAUAUAAUUCACUCUGAUCCUCUUUACUUGACUGAGAGAGAGUAUCAGACUUACGAUUUGGGUGCUACACGAGAAAUGCAAUCAACAGUUUCUGCAGCGUCUGCAAAUACAUCUGUAGCUGCUGCUUCUACUUUGGACUCCUAUACUACGAAUCCAUAUUAUAGUCGAUAUCAUGGUGCUUCAUUGGUUGACUCUUAUCUGCCACGUCCAAGAGCAGAGGCACCUGAUUGAGACUCGUCAUUUGAGGAGGAAAGAAAGCAACAAAGUGGAUAGAUUGUAUUCCGCAUAUGCUUCUGAUGCUUUUGCAGAUUACAACCAGAUGUAUCUACUUCAAGAUUUUAAGCGUGAAGCUGCUUCUGCAUCAGUUUCAUCCCUGUAUUCUUUUAGUGGUGCGUCAUUGUCUUAUUGCUGAGAGUUUGAUUAUCUGUCCUUUCAUGCCCCUAACAUAAGACAUGUCAUUUGUUU
Molecule: non-coding RNA, 3399 nt
Organism: Durio zibethinus
Lineage: Eukaryota; Viridiplantae; Streptophyta; Magnoliopsida; Malvales; Malvaceae
Source: RefSeq, a predicted model, not a curated record